GGACAGGGAGCGAGCACUGUGGGGGCUGGGAGAGGCUGGAGGGGUGGAGGGGUGGAGGGCCAGAGGCCGAGCCAAGAGGAGCGGCCGGAGCUGCCGGAGAAGGCGAGGAGGAAAAAGCGGAGGAAGGAAACCCAUCCUGCCCCCAACACCCGAGUGUCUCCUGUUACCAACCGAAAGGUGCAGCCUCAGGAAGAGUUGCAGGCUCUACUGCUGGCCCCUUGUUGGUGCUGAUUACUGGGAAUUGGCUAUAAUUUUCCAAAGUGCUACCAGUUCAAUGAAAACUUUCCUCAGUACACUUUUUCCACUGGGGAAGCUCAGGCCAGGAGGAAAUGAAGUCAUUAUCCUGUUCUCUGUCCCCCUGCCCCACAGGGAUAGAAGAUGGCCAUCGACUUGGUGAGUAUAGAACAGGGGCACCCAGAGAUUUGCCUUAGUCCUACCCUUCCCUCUCAUCAUGUGCUAGGCCUCACCAUUGGUGUCACUGAGCAGGGAUUCUGAAUCCAGAUUCCAAGUCCCCAGAAGCCCAUCAGGUGUUUGGCCAUCCUGGUCCUUUCUUAUUGGCAUAUUAAUCAUGCGAAUUCCUUUGUCUGUUAUCCUUUUUAGCUUGCAAAACACAGUCAACUCUCUGUUAUCUACAAGGGUUACCAGGGUGCUCUAAGAUUCCAGGAUCUCCCUGACCUUAAAUCUCUCUCCCCUCCAGCCUGCUAGGAGUUGGGGCCCCGCAAACAAAGGAGUAUUUUAGUGUGGGGAGGGACAUGAUAGCAAUAAGCCUUGGAUGGCAGGCACAGUAUGUGGAGUCCCCAAGGCUAGGGAUAUCACUUGAGAUAUGGCUGGCUGGGCUUCUCAAGGCAAGGGGACCCAAGCCUCAUAAGAAGACUGUAGACAUAAUGACACCCUCCUUAACAUUCUAGUGAAAAGGCUGAACCCUCCCCAGGCACCCUGUAUAUACAAGGCAUUAACAUCAUCACAAUUAACUUGUUUGUGACUGUUACGCAUUUACUUCUUUAUUCAGUCUUUUAUUCCACAAAUAUCUAUUCGGCACGACCAGGUGCCCCUCCCAACUCAGGGCUGGGGACUGAGACCCUCUCCACCAGGAGCUCCUGCUCUACUGAGAAAGAGAUCACAAAUUCUGAGGCGCAGGAGAGAAUGCUACCUUUUAUUCCUGCUCUAAGAAGGAUUAAUUAAAUGAAGAAAGGGACAGUUGGGAAAAGGUAGAAAGCAAAUGUUCAUUGUCAAAACUUUGGAAAACAGAGAAGAGCAGAAACAUAAUUUUUAAUCAAUAAUUUUUAAUUAUGCGACUUCUGAGCUGUGUGGAUUUUAGCUAGUUGGCCUCUG
Molecule: long non-coding RNA, 1332 nt
Filed under: Felis catus (domestic cat)
Lineage: Eukaryota; Metazoa; Chordata; Mammalia; Carnivora; Felidae
Description: lncRNA (ENSFCAG00000047643.1)
Source: RNAcentral